Molecule: long non-coding RNA, 4836 nt
Organism: Peromyscus californicus insignis
Lineage: Eukaryota; Metazoa; Chordata; Mammalia; Rodentia; Cricetidae
Exons: 3
Source: RefSeq, a predicted model, not a curated record
UUUUGUCAGGUGUUUUACAGCAGCAAGAACAAAAAGCUAGCAGACCUCACCUGUAAAUAGGGCUGAUAUUAGACAUCAUCACACCCGAGAGAGGACCGCCACACCACCUGCCCAGCUGUCCUGACAGGAUAGUGUCGGGGAAGAGUGCCAUCCCAGCACUGGGGCCGAUGAGGCAGGAGACACAGAAGUACUACACCAUCGAGUUCGAGGCCAGUGUGGUCUGCAACAAAGCCUUGUACACUUGGUGACUGUCACACUCUUGUAAGACUGGGUCAAUUUCCAGCAUUUUGUUCUUUAUGGGUUUUUUUUUUGUCCCCCACUAUCUUCAAGAGUUCCUUUACUGUGUGACUUCUGCUGGCAUCACUUCUUCUGGGACAUCUUCAUCUUCUUUUGGUCAUAACUGUCCCUUGUCCAUGUCACCAACUCUUCCUUCACUAAAUUCCCCUUUCUGUGCAUCCAGAAUCUCUCCAGUGGUGGCCACGGCUGUGUUCACACCUCCAGCAGCACCCCCCAGCAUCCCAUCUGAGGUGUACCUCCAGCAGCACACACCCCCCAGCGUCAAACCUGAUAUGCUCUGCACGGGCCAGGAGCAACAUGAAGUCGGAGCAUGACUCUCGAAUCUCUGAAACUCCUCCCAGGGACGGGGUCUCAUCACCCAACUUUUCCUGAGGUCACCCAAGAACCCAAAAGAGGUGCUGCACCCCGUGCUGCUGAAAGAAGGACGGAUGUGAGUCACUGCAAUGGUUACGUUCAGAUUCGUUUUCUUUCUAAUUACGUGCCUCUGUGUAGAUAUGUGCACAUGACUACACAUGUCCUCGGAGACCAGAAGAGGCUUCAGAUGCCCUGGAGCUGGGAUUGCAGGCAGCUGUGAGCCACCUGAGGUGGGUGCUGCCAACUAAACUCGAGUCCUCUGGAAGAGCGGCAAGCCCUACUAAUUGCUGGACUGUCUAGCCUGGUCAGAAAUAAUUUUGACUGCCCCAUUUGCUGGGGAGGGCGGGGGAAGAAAGAAAAAAGGAAAGAAAAAGUGCAGGGACCACCUGAAGGAGCAUCGGGGCAGAAGUCCCAUCCUGCCCCCCGUGGCGUCUGACGUUGCUCAGGCUAGCCCCACGCUGCAGCUCCAGGCCUCUCCUUUCCCCCGCCCCGCAGCCUCCGUUCACUGCCCUUCAGCGUUAAAUUGAUUUUAAUAGCAUUCAAUUUUCUCAAGUGCUGGAGAGACAGACAGGCUACAAAGGGAGUGGUAUUGCCACCUCUCUUUUCUCCUGGAUUCCCAGAUGGACAUUAAAAAGUCAUUUCAUGUGACACUCAGCCCCUGGCCCCAGGAGAGAUAACAGGAAACAGCACCAGCCCAGAGCUGGCUGAUUGUGCCAAUUAGCUAACCACAGCAGGAACCACCCAGAAGCCUGGAGGAGAAGGGGCAGUGCAGCAGAGAAGCGGUGUGAGUGGUUUUUCCUGAGUGGUUUUCAUUCAGCAAAUGACACCAACGCACAGGCACCCAGCGAUCCCAGAGGAAGGCGCAUGCUUGUGCAUCCACACGAGUGUGCACCAGGCACUGGGCUGGGCAGGAUGUGCAAAGGGAAAAAAAUCUCUUUGGAGUCUAGUGUCUCCUAUCACUGUCCUUCUGGGUAAUUGUGGAAGAAACAAAAGAAGCAACUGAGCGUCUCUCUCCGUCACGUCUUGCUCCCAGUUAGUAGCCCCUCCACAACGCGUCCAAGCUGCUUUUUGUUUUCGGCGUUUAUUUUAUGUAUUGAUAAGGAAGGGGUGUGUACCCGGGUGGAGGCCAGAAGUCAGUCCUGGGUGUCAGUCUUCUGAUCCAUUUUAUUUUUUUGAGACAAGAUCUUCCACUGGACCUGGACUCAUUCUCAAAGACUUGCUGACUAGGAAUUGAAAGAUGAAAGGAGACAGAGGAAAUGGAGAGAGACUUCCAGUGUGGAAGAGAGAAGAGAACCUGGGGUUUCCUUCCAUUGAACACUCACUCCUAAGCACAGCAGUCACACUGAGUUAGAGCGCAUCUUGAGAAAUGCCCGUGUUUGCCUUAAUGAUAUCCACUAAGACCUACCUCAAAACAAAAGUCCCGUUCAAACUCACUACAUCUGUGGGGGAAACACAAUUUAACUCACGACACAGUCUAUUAAUUAGUUGGUAGCGCAAGACUGCUGUAUCAGAAUAACUCCUAGGACACUUAGUCAUUCACUGUGAGGGAGAAAGACAACCCGGAGUGUGGCAGGACUGAGAAGCGCCGUUUUCUGAAGUGACAUGAUGAAUCCAGAGUUCUUUAAGAUAGUUAACGUGUGUCACUUUGAGACAUAUGAGUUGACAGCUGGGGAUGAAGACAGAGAACAUGAGCAUGCAAGAAAAAAAAUAGUGAGUGAUGGAGCCUUGGGGCCAGGAGCCUGCAGGGGGCAGAGUCCUGGCUGGCAACAGCUGCUGUCGGACCUAAGGGUGUUUCUGCUGCUCUGGCCCCACCGGUGCUGACUGGCCCCACCGGAGCUGCCUGCCUGCCUGCCUGGGGUUGGCUGCCAGUGUCCACACAAUCCUCCUUCCUCUCCCUAGGGGAAGCUGUUUACCACAGGAAGAGGGUUCACCUUGCAUAUUUUUAUCACUCUUCACUGCCUGCCUCAGUUUACCCCUUUAGGUAACACUAACACCUGAAGUGAGAAGAGAAUGGCCUUGUGGGUCAUCUGUUAUGACCCCAGGUGUCCCCAUACGUGUCUUCAGGACAGCGGUCACCUUCUGAGGAACCUUUAAGAGAUGGAGUCUCAUUGGAGGAAGUGAGUCACUGGAGUGAAGCCCCACUUCCUGCUCAGCUUCUGCUUCCUGACUGUGGAUGUGACCAACUGCCUCCUACACUUGCUGCCAUGCCUUUCCCCGGGAUUAAUUGCAUUCCCUCCAACUGUAAUCAAAAUAAGCCCCUCCUCCCUUAUUCGGGCAGCCUUGAGAACAGUAACCAGUAAACCUGUAAAGGCAUGUUAUUUGUUGCAAUGCUGCCACAGGUCCUGUUCUCAAGAAGCUCACGUUGGUGGGCGGAAACAUGCAUAGUAAAUGAGAAAAAGAGAGAUAAAUGGUGGCAUGUUGAAGAUGCGUGAAGAUGAGGCCAGGGUGAGCCACUGAGGGACCGGGCAAGGUGGGAGGGGAUGCAUGGGCUGAGGAGAGAGUCACGGGAGGAAGCCAGACGCCUGGCAAUGUGAGGGGAAGGAAGAGACUCUAACCAAAGGGACUAGCAUGCGCAAGGCCCAUGUGGUAGGAACUGGAAGGAGGUUUUCAUACUCCAGGUGCAGAAUGGAGUUCUUACAGGCUGCAGGAGAGCGAGGGAGCGUGGUGGGUGCUGUAAAUGAGGCUUAGUUCUGGUAGACUGCAAUAAUAAGCGUGGAUCUUACUUUAAGCUCAAUGAGAAGCUGGUGGUAUGAGUUGAUUUCCAUUUUAUAUCCAAGAUCACAAAACCAGUGAAUGAGAAAUGAGUUAUCAAGUCAUGCUAAUCACCACAGAGCCGUGUUCUCAACUGCACAGCAAGCUGGCUGCAUGUCGGAUUGGAAAGCUGGAGCCCCUCUCCGUGGGUCCCCAGAGCUUCCACAACAGUGGCUCUCAGUCAGGGGCGAUUCUGUCCCCCAGGGAGCACUUGGCAAGGCCUGGAGAUAUUGUUGGCUGGAACCAUUUUCAAGCAGGGUGUCCUACUGGAAAUCAAUAGAGAGAGGUCAGGGGCUUUGUUGAACCCACGGGACAGAUCCCACCCACAGCAAUGAGUCGUCUGCUCUGAGCACCCAGAUUAGAGCUCUGAAUACAGAGAACCAUGUUGUCAUUCGUUUAUAGGGAGCAUCACAGGUCAGCUCUAAUGAAACGCCGGACUCCAUCUGACAUCCUCAGUGCAGUCUUCAGCUCGGGAGGACUUCUUCAGACAGGUGCUGCCUUCAGCCUCCACUUGACCACGAAGCCAGGCAGACUUUGGUCUAAGGGAGACACGGCAAGUCGGCUGUCGGUGUGGAGAAGGGAGACCACCGGUUUGCCUGAGCUCUCUCCCUCUUAGAGACCAUGGCUGUGUCUCCUGGCAUCCAAGCAGCCAGGCGGCAGAUGAAAUAAAUCCAGCCAUUCCUGGAAGCAGGCUAGAUGAUGGAGACUGCCUGGCUCCAGCCAAGACUAGAUGUUGAAGCUGAAAUGUCAGUGGUCUACCAGCUGCCCCUUAAAUACCACUUUAUGGCAUUUGCCCAUGUGCACACAUUCCCUAUGAUAACCGAACACUCAGAGGGAGCUUUUAAAUGACUGCAGGUCCACCCAGUUCACACUCCCCCAUGAUAGCCACGAGCUCAGACCACACAUCACAGUGGCUAUUGAGUGGCAACUCCCCUCUCACCAAAUAUUGACCAGUUUGGGGGUUUGACGUAUGCACAUGUACCUUCUCUUUCAAACCCUGUAGCUGACUAUCCAUCACUUACACUUUACAAAUGGCCCAUCACGCUCACUAAAAUGAAUUGGGUGCUUACCGUGUGCCACACGCUGUCAGUGCAUCCAUACAUCAUCUCCUUGAGCCAUCCUGUCUUCAUCCGGUUCCUUCAAAAGCAAACCUCAGAGCGAAAGUAGCCGGCUACAUUGGGAGGUGGCUAGAGCCAGGUAGCAGAGGAAGAAAAACCAAUUAGAUUGUAUUGGUGAUGGCGCCAGCGCUUGGGAAACUGGGGGCUCUAGUCCCGGGGAGCAGCUGGAAGACUCUGCAGAACACAGCCCAGGUUGGUCUCCGCACAGAGGGGAGGAAGCUCUGGCCCUCUUGAGCUGCCCCAGGGAUAUGUACUAUGUUCAGAUCUCCUUCACUAUGAACCUGACUAGAUUUUAGGAGACACACCUUUGAGUAAG